RNAcentral lists this long non-coding RNA (365 nucleotides) under Calidris pugnax (ruff). RNAcentral describes it as "lncRNA (ENSCPUG00000010047.1)". The record is from RNAcentral. Lineage: Eukaryota; Metazoa; Chordata; Aves; Charadriiformes; Scolopacidae.
CAUAACUGCCACGUAUUAUUUUUAUUAAUUCCACAUAAGCUAUUUUGAUCAGACUCUUCAGCUGCAGAGCCAUCAGGAGAUCUCACAGCAGGCAACUGCGGAGGAGAGAUUGGAGAUUUACAUGCAGAAAAUCUUUCCUUCCUCAAGAAAUCCAACAAAGAAUCCUUGUAAGCACCAGGUGCAAGAAAACCAAGGUUUCCUUCUAGCUUAGAAGACACCGAGCUCCUUUUUGCAACGUGGUGUGUUGGUGACAGGAGAGUUCCAGGGGCUAAUGAGGAGACGCAGAAUCACAAUGAACCUAGUGACCAUUUCAAAUCUAAUCCAAGUAAGUAUUUUUCAUUUAUCUUUAAUCUGGUAUCUAAUCG